AGGACGAACGCUGGCGGCGUGCUUAACACAUGCAAGUCGAGCGGAAAGGCCCUUCGGGGUACUCGAGCGGCGAACGGGUGAGUAACACGUGAGUAAUCUGCCUUCAGCUCUGGGAUAGCUCCGGGAAACCGGGAUUAAUACCGGAUAUGACCACUUCGGACAUCUGUUGUGGUGGAAAGUUUUUCGGCUGGAGAUGAGCUCGCGGCCUAUCAGCUUGUUGGUGGGGUAAAGGCCUACCAAGGCGACGACGGGUAGCCGGCCUGAGAGGGCGACCGGCCACACUGGGACUGAGACACGGCCCAGACUCCUACGGGAGGCAGCAGUGGGGAAUAUUGCGCAAUGGGCGGAAGCCUGACGCAGCGACGCCGCGUGGGGGAUGAAGGCCUUCGGGUUGUAACCCUUUCAGCAGGGACGAAGCGCAAGUGACGGUACCUGCAGAAGAAGCGCCGGCUAACUACGCGCCAGCAGCCGC
RNAcentral lists this ribosomal RNA (472 nucleotides) under uncultured bacterium. Its description in RNAcentral is "SSU rRNA". It matches the Rfam family "Bacterial small subunit ribosomal RNA", at positions 26 to 518 of the family's 1533-position model. The record is from RNAcentral.